AGAUGGUGGGGGGGUUGAAAGCACCGGUCUUGAAAACCGGCAUACGUUAAUAGCGUAUCUAGGGUUCAAAUCCCUAUCUCUCCGCCA
RNAcentral lists this transfer RNA (87 nucleotides) under Vibrio parahaemolyticus. Its description in RNAcentral is "tRNA-Ser". It matches the Rfam family "tRNA". From Rfam's summary of the family: Transfer RNA (tRNA) molecules are approximately 80 nucleotides in length. Their secondary structure includes four short double-helical elements and three loops (D, anti-codon, and T loops). Lineage: Bacteria; Pseudomonadati; Pseudomonadota; Gammaproteobacteria; Vibrionales; Vibrionaceae. The record is from RNAcentral.